RNAcentral lists this unclassified non-coding RNA (24 nucleotides) under Mus musculus (house mouse). Its description in RNAcentral is "oocyte_clustered_small_RNA6456". Lineage: Eukaryota; Metazoa; Chordata; Mammalia; Rodentia; Muridae. The record is from RNAcentral.
UGUUGGCACUGAGAAAGCCCAGGA